CAGGCAAGAUUUUAAAAUAACUACUACUAGUGCCUAGCGAAUAUUACUUUUGAUAUGAUUUUACUAUUAACAAAUAAUCAAUAAAGACUUAAUUUUACUGCUGCUAUAUUUUACCAGCAAUGAGUGGAGUGCUCUUCUUCAAAAGCUUCAACAUGAGCACAGUUAAAGCCGAAAUCUCCAAUUGUAAAGAUUGCAGUCCUGCUAAGACAACAACAUGAGGUGACCUCAGGAUAAGAUUAGAGUUUCAUUUGCAAUUGCAAAGGUU
Molecule: unclassified non-coding RNA, 265 nt
Filed under: Hevea brasiliensis (rubber tree)
Lineage: Eukaryota; Viridiplantae; Streptophyta; Magnoliopsida; Malpighiales; Euphorbiaceae
Source: RNAcentral